Molecule: ribosomal RNA, 563 nt
Filed under: uncultured bacterium
Lineage: Bacteria
Description: bacterial SSU rRNA
Rfam family: Bacterial small subunit ribosomal RNA
Source: RNAcentral
ACGGGUGAGUAACGCGUGGGUAACCUGCCUUGUACAGGGGGAUAACAGCCAGAAAUGGUUGCUAAUACCCCAUAAGCCUCCGGUAUCGCAUGAUACAGAAGGAAAAGAUUUAUCGGUAUAAGAUGGACCCGCGUCUGAUUAGCUAGUUGGUAAGGUAACGGCUUACCAAGGCGACGAUCAGUAGCCGACUUGAGAGAGUGAUCGGCCACAUUGGGACUGAGACACGGCCCAAACUCCUACGGGAGGCAGCAGUGGGGAAUAUUGCACAAUGGGGGAAACCCUGAUGCAGCGACGCCGCGUGAAGGAAGAAGUAUUUCGGUACGUAAACUUCUAUCAGCAAGGAAGAAAAUGACGGUACUUGACUAAGAAGCCCCGGCUAACUACGUGCCAGCAGCCGCGGUAAUACGUAGGGGGCAAGCGUUAUCCGGAUUUACUGGGUGUAAAGGGAGCGUAGGUGGCAAGGCAAGUCAGAUGUGAAAGCCCGGGGCUCAACCCCGGGAUUGCAUUUGAAACUGCCCAGCUAGAGUGCAGGAGAGGUAAGUGGAAUUCCUAGUGUAGCGGUG